This 429-nucleotide ribosomal RNA is filed under the name Gemmatimonadota bacterium. RNAcentral describes it as "Gemmatimonadetes bacterium partial 16S ribosomal RNA". It matches the Rfam family "Bacterial small subunit ribosomal RNA", at positions 355 to 776 of the family's 1533-position model. Lineage: Bacteria; Pseudomonadati; Gemmatimonadota. The record is from RNAcentral.
UAGGGAAUCUUCGGCAAUGGACGAAAGUCUGACCGAGCAACGCCGCGUGAGUGAAGAAGGUUUUCGGAUCGUAAAACUCUGUUGUUAGAGAAGAACAAGGACGUUAGUAACUGAACGUCCCCUGACGGUAUCUAACCAGAAAGCCACGGCUAACUACGUGCCAGCAGCCGCGGUAAUACGUAGGUGGCAAGCGUUGUCCGGAUUUAUUGGGCGUAAAGCGAGCGCAGGCGGUUUCUUAAGUCUGAUGUGAAAGCCCCCGGCUCAACCGGGGAGGGUCAUUGGAAACUGGGAGACUUGAGUGCAGAGGGGGAGAGUGGAAUUCCAUGUGUAGCGGUGAGAUGCGUAGAUAUAUGGAGGAACACCAGUGGGGAAGGCGGCUCUCUGGUCUGUAACGGACGCUGAGGCUCGAAAGCGUGGGGAGCAAACAGG